CUUCCACAGCGAUAUCACUAAAUAUUACUAGAACUUCUUCCUCGACGUCUCUCAAUUUAUUUUUUAACCUUUCGCAAAUCGUACGUUGCCCAUCGCGAGUGAAUGAAGGACUUUUUUUUUGCUUUUUCGAAAAAUGUGCUUGUGGUGAUUUUCGGUGAGCGUUUGAGAACUAUGUUCGCAAAGUUUUCUCCAAUUUUCGCUCGAACAGUCGAACAGUGAUAUGUGCAGAAGAUUAUGCGAAAACGUGUCGAUGGUGACGGUGAUCGCAAUGAAAGUCAAUAAACUGUGAUGGAUAAGAGAGAGUAACAGUCGGAGUGGUAUUAAUAAAUUAGUGUCUAGUUGCUACAAGCAACGACAGUGCAAACGGCAACAGUAGCAUCAACAGAAGCCGAAGAAAUAAAAAAUUGAAGACACGAAAGCGGUCACGAUGACGGGGACCAUGAUGGACGGCCAUAAACACUGGAUUCUUUCUUUCGUGAGCUGUCGGAGAAUUUAACACUCUGAAGAUCAUCGCAAGAGCGAAUUCGAAGCGAAUCGUGUAGAGAAUCGGUGACCGGGUGGCAAUCGUGUACGAGGAUGAAGGCAGCGUAGAAAAGGGUCGUUUGCGACCGUGGAGGAGAGAAGAAGGUGGUUGAAGACACAACGAGAGAAUCGCGCAAAGAAGAGGAGGAGACGUGACGUGACGUGACGGUGCAUGGCGGCGUGUGCACACGCGUGUCGCUCGUGUGGGAUCGGAUUAUCGUUGUGUGCCAGUGCGAAAGAAGACAAUUGACUCGUAGCCGCCGCCGUCGUGCUUGCCGGGGGCCUUCUGACGUCACAUCCUGUCCUCUUGGGCUAGUCGCGAUCUCGUUUGGACCACGGCACAUCAAGGGAAACAAGAACGAUGAGCGACCACAAAAAAUGGAUCUUCAAGAUCCUCUUCUGGAUGAAUAUCUACACAACGAUUUUAGCAAACUUAACGGACUCCUCAGAAAUCGAUCUGUCCGAUGAAAUGGAUUUAUUUACCACCACGAAGAGAACGUUUCCCGACAGGUGUCUCGUUAAAACUGAACCAGGCCCGUGCAAACAGUACGUUCACAAGUGGUGGUUCAACAAGACUGAAGGAAAAUGUAGAACUUUUCCUUACGGUGGCUGUCUGGGAAACGAGAAUCGUUUCAACUCGGAAGCUGAGUGUCUUCAUUAUUGCGUGGGUGGUCCGGAACAUACUUUGCCACCAUAUUUAGUGACAAAGGGAAGCGUAUUUGUGACGAGCACAGCAACCACAAACACACUGCCUGCAACCACCGCCAUUACGCCACGGCCGACGUUCGCGCCGCCUGAACCAACAAAACCACCUGUGCCAAAGUACAAAAGAGGAAAGGAGCUAACCUUUAUGGAGUCAGGGUAUGAAAAGACCUUUAUGUUCGCGCAGAGCAACACGUUCAUUCAGCUUGAUGGUAGUGGUAUCAAACCGUUUCAACUUAGGCUAUGUCGUGAAAUAUCCUUCAAAUUCCGAACAAAAUUACCGCACGGUCUGCUAGUAUACCACAGCGUGAAGGAUCGCCCAGAAAGUUUAGACCCGUACGCAUUAUACGUGAUCGUCGAAAAAGGGCAACUAAAAGUGGUCCACGUGUUCGGAAAACGGUCAACGAGUUUGACAGUCGGAGAAGGAUUGAAUAGAGACGAAUGGCACAGUGUUCUGGUGAGAAUUGACGUACAUGGAGCGAAAUUGAUUGCUAGAGUGGAUGAUAAACAGGAAGAGACGACGUUGGAGGUUCUGGAACACGUGGUUAAUUAUGGGGUUUCUGAGGAACUUGCUUCUGUCGUCCUUAUUGGAGGUUUAAGUUCCGAGGAACGAUUACAUGGCGUGAAGUACAUAAUAGAAUCCUUCGUGGGUUGCAUAAGAGAUAUGGUUCUUAGUUCAGGGAAAUCAGCGAGUGAUUUAUUGCCGAUUCAGCCAUUGAUUGCGACGAAACACGAAAACGUGAAGGAAGGCUGCAUAGAUAAGUGCAGAACGCGAGAGAACCUUUGCUUCAUCUCGAACCAGUGUGUAAAUCACUAUAACAGUUUAACUUGCGACUGCUUCGGAACCAAGUAUGAAGGCGAACGUUGUGACGUGUAUACGGCCACCAUUUUGACGUUGAGAGGAUCCUCGUACGUUUCCUUCCGGGUUUACGAUUGGAAGGACAGAGUCCACUCUUCGGUCAACAGGAUAAGUCUUGCAUUCAAGACAAAAUGGGACGACUCAGCCCUGUUCUACGCAUCCGGAGAAAUCGAUGGAACCCCCCAUUACGUAGCAGCCUCCAUAAUGAAUGGAUCUGUCCACGUAGAAUUAGAUUUUGGACACAACUCGAAAAUAGCCACUGUUCUCGGUGAUUACGUGACUUCGAACCAUUGGAACAAUUUAACAAUAUUUCAUAAUGGAUCUCUGGUUUUUGUGAGCUUGGACGACGAGAUAAAGGUGUUGGAGGUUCCUGGAGAGAAUUAUAAUAUGAUUAUUGAUCCGGAGAUUUAUAUUGGGGGAGGACCGGAGCUGCACAAGAAGAAGGGACUUCUUUCGUAUAAUAACUUUGCAGGUUCCUUAAAGUAUGUUUUCUUUAACGACAAAUCAAUCAUCUACGAACUGAAGAGAUCCAACCCCAUGGUGCACUACAUAGGGGUGCUAGAACCAGAGUACUACGAAGCGGACGUUGAUGUGAUUCCUAUAACAUACCCGUUUGCUGGCAGCCACAUAUGGUGGCCUAUAGCUCGGACCGACUCUCUCAAAUUGAAUUUCGAUUUCAAAAGCUCGAAACCUGUAGCUGUGGUUGCGUCGGGAGACGUGAAGAGCAAUCAUGGACUUGGGUAUUGGGAGCUACGUCUAGUGAACGACGAGAUCCGAUUUCAACUGAUUCCCAUAUUAACCGAGAACGUCACCGUCUCAGCAGCCGUGAAAUUCCCGUACAACACGUCUUGGCACGCAGUCGAAUUGAAUUACACGAAGGGCGAGUUGAGCAUCCUCGUCGAUUACAGGAACAAACAGAGCAAACUGUUCUCCAUGACGUUCGAGUUAGGUGACAAAGUCAUCAUCGGAAGUGGCAAAAGCAACGCGGGUUUGGUUGGAUGCAUGAGAGAGAUACAAGUGAACGACGAGAGGAUAGAGCCCAGAUACGUGGUCAACACCGAGAGAGUGAUCGGAGAAGUGGCUUUGGACAACUGCCAGUUCGUUGAUCCUUGUACUAGGCCGAACACGUGCGAACAUGGGGGGAAAUGCUCGGUGAAGGAGGACAGAAUCACUUGCGAUUGUACUGAUACUGGUUAUAUUGGCAAGAAUUGUCACUUUGCUCAAUACAGGAAGACAUGUGAGGAGCUAGCACUGUUAGGAUACACCCAAGACGACGUCUACAAAAUCGAUAUUGACGGGAACGGAAGAUUUCCACCAGCUCUAGUGAAAUGCGAGUUCCAGUCCAUUGAAGACUCCACCAAAACUAUAGUGGAGCAUAAUUUGCCGUCUCAAGUAGACGUCAGAUCUAUAGCAGAGUCUGAUUUUUCAUUCAACAUCAAGUAUAGACAGUUUACGGCUGAGAUGCUGCAGGAGCUGAUCUCACACUCGUUGUAUUGUAGCCAGUAUGUCAAGUAUGAUUGCUAUAAGGCACCUUUGGAACUGCAUAGUGCUACGUGGUUUCUUAGCUCGAAAGGGACUACUGUGGAUUAUAUUGGAAAUGUUAAUAGAGGAUCCUGUCCUUGUGGAAUGAACAGAACAUGUGUUGAUCCAAACCUAAGCUGCAACUGUGACGUCUCCGCCGGAAAUGCUGGCAAGUGGUUAUCCGACGAAGGUUACUACGAAACUCCAGACUCCCUAGGAAUUACAGGAAUGGUCUUCUUGCAACAAAGAGACCUUGAAGAGGAUGCACAGGGCAGAAUUACCUUGGGUCCGCUAGAAUGUGUCGAAACAAAUACCCAGAAGUAUGUGGUGACAUUCACAACAUCACAGUCCUACAUCGAAGUACCAGGCUGGAGAAAAGGAGACAUUGCAUUCAGCUUUCGAACAACAGGAGAGAAAGCAAUCUUGCUGUAUCAACCACCUAUCAGAAGCAACUAUCCUUCCUUUAUGGUUGCUCUAACUUCUGAGUACCGUUUGACGUUUAAUUUUACCUUGAACACUGGUACCAUCAGGGAACUGGAAGUGAAGAGUAGAAGAAAGUUGAAUAAUGGAGAGUGGCAGAAGAUUUGGAUCGAUUAUAAUGACUAUCAUGUUAGAUUCAUGAUUAAUACAGACUUUCAGAUGGUGGAUUUGUUACCGGAAGAGGAAUUUGGUCCUUUUGAGGGGUCUAUGUUCAUUGGAGGCGCUACUGCAGAGCAUCUAAGAACAUCCUCAGUUCGCCAAGGACUCAUAGGCUGCUUCCGGGGCCUCGUCGUAAACGGCGAGAUACUGGACAUCCACAGCUACAUGUCCGUCCACCUAUCUGAGAUAAUAAAAGAUUGCAAACCUUCAUGUCAGCCAAACAAAUGUCAAAAUGGCGCCAGGUGCGUGGAACUGUGGAGCAACUUCGAGUGCGUCUGCGAGAACCGGUGGGCUCAUCUUGGCACUUAUUGCGAAAGAAAUAUAAACAACAAGGCACUGACGUUCACCUCGCCAGGUGCAUUCUUGAAGAAGAAUUAUUUUGGUACUGAUGAAGAGGACCAAGAGAAGUUAUUGCUGAAGAGGAUACUUCUACAGAAUAUACUGAUCAACCUCAGAACUUAUGACACUCAUUCGCUGAUCUUGUAUGCUAAUGAUCAUUUGAACAACUUUGCUCAUCUUUAUAUUUCCAAUGGCACUAGUAUCGUUUACUUGUUCAAUGCUGGGAAUGAGAUUAAGAAUAUCACUGUUGAGUAUCCAGGUGUGAAUACAGGAAUAUCAGUGCAAAUCGCCAUCAUCCGCACAGAGAAGUCCACAACGCUCCACGUGAACGAGUACAACCUCACUCUCAACGCCACACCAGUCUUACUAGACACGUACUCGAACAAGCCUUGGAUAAACCCAGAGAAGGAGGUGCUAGCACCGCAGAGGCCACCCGCACCACCCACCAACUACUUCCAGGUGAAUCUAGGAGGCUUCGACCCGGACGAUCUUCUGAGGGUGGGCAAGGAGGGCGCCCUUAUACAGGGCUACGUGGGUUGCUUGCGUGGUCUGAUGAUCGGGGAGUAUCUCGUCGAUCUACCGAGUCUUGCUAACGAGGCCAACCACGAGGGCAGCAAAGGAGUGCUGCCUAAUUGCCAGAUGAAGUGCGAUGCUAUGCCUUGCAAGAAUCUGGGGAUCUGCACGGAGGACUUUGGGAGGCAGGAGUCGUCGUGCAAUUGUGAGCUGACGUCGUAUUUUGGGGAACAUUGUGCUGAUGAAAAGGGAGCAGACUUCAGCGGAGAGAGUGUCUUACAACGCGAAUUUGACUUAGUGGGUGAAGUGAGUCAAGUCAAAGUUCAACUAGCAUUUUCCACCAAUGAACUCCGACAACGCACGACAGCGCUCUUACUCUUGCAAACAGAGAACAAAAGAAGCUACUACUUGCUGGUCGCCUUAACGUCUGAAGGGCAGUUGAUUUUCGAGGAGGACAGAGAAGGAUCGGCUUAUGGUGUGCGUCUUAAUGAUAGGAACUUUCUCAAUGGUGCUCGGCAUAGUGUGUAUUAUGUUCGGGAUAACAACACUGCUACAUUGUUGAUCGAUCGAGAGCCCGUGCAGCUAUUACCCAUCCCCGUCCUAAACCUAGGAGACGACGAAGACGAAAGUCCCGGAGUAACCGAGAUCCAACUAGGCGGUCUGAACACAACGGACUCGAGAUUCAGCGCGUACAAAGGAUACACCGGAUGUCUGAGCAACGUCGUGGUAUCGAUCAACGGGGGACCUGGCAUGAAGCCACUCGAGGAAUAUAUGCUCUUUACGAAACAGGGCAGCGAAACUGUCCGAGCCACGAUACCUGCUGGGGUCAGGAGCGCACAGUGCGCCGUCUUCCACGCUCAACCACGUGGCCUCGACCCACCUAGAAACGAUAGUGUGGGUCGUGACAGAGCAUGGGUGGAGGACCCACCCGAAAGAAUUCUGUACAAAUCCCAAUACUCGGACGCGACCCAAGAAGAACAAGGUGCCGGUACUUACAUCUUCAUCGCCUUAUGCUGCGUCUUCGUGACCGCAGUAAUCGGUUGCAUUUACGAAGUCUGGAGAAGUGCAAGAAAAGAUCGACGACGUAGACGAGCAGCAAACGUUAGUGGUUCGACCACUGUGACACCUUCCGGUUCGCAAAGAUGGCAAGCGCCACAGUAUACUGACACGAUAGCCAGCGGUGUGAAGACAGUGGGUUUCAAGAACGUGGAAGACGAGAAAAGACCUAAUGGCACACACGUGAAACCCAUUGGCAAGGAAUAUAAACCGCUGACCAACGCGGAGAAUAAAGACUUGGUUAACGAUAAAAGGGUUCAUAUAAAAGCAGAUGAAGAACCAGAGAAGAAGGAGCUCCUAGGGGUAAAUACAGGCAUCAUCACUAAACCUCCGAAACCAAAUCCAUUCUCAAUGGAAGAUUUGCAAGAAGAACCAGAACUGGAGGAAUGCGAAGAAGAAGAGGAAGAAGAAGAAGACGACGAUUCUAAAAAAGAGAAUCAAAACGAAGAAGAAUCAGAUCAAUCGAAAACGGAGCUAAUCGACGACAAAGAUUUCGCGAAAUCGCCGGAUAAUUCACCUAGGAUAAGUGUUGAAUCGUUAAACAACAUUCCUGAACACGAUGACACGAAAACGCAGAACGAAAUAUAGAGGCGAAUGCUCGUAAUGGAAUUGAACAACGUUGGACGAUACACGAUUUGUCUUCAGAUUCCACAAGGCCUCUAGUUGUCAAUCUACAGCCCAUCUAUCUCUCGGACGACCGAAGAGCAUUUGGAAAUCCACUGAAUUAUCUCGGUGGCCGAAAAUUCCAACCAAAUAGAAAUUCCAUCGAAUCCAUAUUAUCCUUGGAUU
This 6940-nucleotide unclassified non-coding RNA is filed under the name Megachile rotundata (alfalfa leafcutting bee). Its description in RNAcentral is "neurexin-4, transcript variant X3". The record is from RNAcentral. Lineage: Eukaryota; Metazoa; Arthropoda; Insecta; Hymenoptera; Megachilidae.